UACGGGAGGCAGCAGUGGGGAAUAUUGCACAAUGGGCGCAAGCCUGAUGCAGCCAUGCCGCGUGUAUGAAAAAGGCCUUCGGGUUGUAAAGUACUUUCAGUCGUGAGGAAGGUGUUAAGGUUAAUAACCUUAGCAAUUGACGUUAGCGACAGAAGAAGCACCGGCUAACUCCGUGCCAGCAGCCGCGGUAAUACGGAGGGUGCGAGCCGUUAAUCGGAAUUACUGGGCGUAAAGGGCACGCAGGCGGUUAAUUAAGUUGGAUGUGAAAUCCCCGGGCUUAACCUGGGAAUGGCAUUCAAGACUGGUUAGCUAGAGUCUUGUAGAGGGGGUAGAAUUCCAUGUGUAGCGGUGAAAUGCGUAGAGAUGUGGAGGAAUACCGGUGGCGAAGGCGGCCCCUGGACAAAGACUGACGCUCAUGUGCGAAAGCGUGGGGAGCAAACAGGGAUUAGAUACC
RNAcentral lists this ribosomal RNA (454 nucleotides) under uncultured bacterium. Its description in RNAcentral is "bacterial SSU rRNA". It matches the Rfam family "Bacterial small subunit ribosomal RNA", at positions 340 to 786 of the family's 1533-position model. The record is from RNAcentral.